Molecule: long non-coding RNA, 568 nt
Filed under: Homo sapiens (human)
Lineage: Eukaryota; Metazoa; Chordata; Mammalia; Primates; Hominidae
Description: non-protein coding lnc-ZNF45-1:1
Source: RNAcentral
ACUUCCGCGGCAAGAGGUUGAGAGCGCGGCCUUCAUUCCUCUCGUGGAAGAAAGGAGGCUGUUCUUGGACUAUGCCUGACCCGUUUUUUAAGAAAGAGUGCAUCACUCAACAGGUGGCGUCUGGAGUUAUCCUCUGUGGAUUUUCCAGGAUCUCAGACAAGAUCGUGCAAUCUCCCAGCCUCCUUUCCUUCCCCUGCCCUGACUUCUGAAAGAAUGCUGCGGGAGAGGAGGAAGGAGAGCAUCCUGGCUUCUGGCAGCAGAGCCCCACUGUGACAGGACCUAGCAUUCACCUUCCUCUUCUGUUCCGAGUGCGAGAAGACUUCAGGGACCUCUGUUUCAUGGACAUUAUCAUAUUCUUCUCAAGAGUACCCAGCAAGAGGUUUGCAAAGAGGAGUUAUUCAGUGAAGACGGGGUUUCACCAUCUUGGCUAGGCUGGUCUUGAAUUCCUGACCUCGUGAUCCACCCGCCUGGGCCUCCCAAAGUGCUGGGAUUACAUGCGUGAGCCACCGUGCCCAGCCUCAAAGCAGCAAAAAUGGACUAAGACAUCACUUGAACUGGCAGGAGGUGG